CAUUUUCCCUGCUUUCCCAUAAGAGCCUUUGGUAAAUUGCCCCUUGUAUGAGAUCUGAGCCUUCCCUUCUUCAGGGAGCUGAAUUAUCUCCCUCCCAAGGGAGGUCUCUCAUUCCGUUUGCUGUCUGCUAUGUAAUCUCUGGGGUCUCCAAUCUGAUAUUUGUUGGGUUUAUUUGCAUGUUUAUUGUAGAGCCAGCAUUUAGCAGGGAGGGAAUUAAGGCUGGGAGACGUCCCUGGGAGGCCUCUUUCUCCAUUAAGUUCCACCAUCAGAAGCUCAGCUUGAACCCCAAAUGACACCCCCUGGACUAAUAAUGUGAAAGGGAGCAGAUGGCUAGAGUCACAGCCUUGGGCUUUCCCUCCUGGCAAAGAUUGGAGGAAAGGACCAGCGAUAGCAACAGGAAAAUGGAAUCCUGUGGAGCUGGAAUGAUCAAGUUUGGCCCCAAGGGAAGGAAGGUUCUCCCUUCUUUGUAGAUGUGGGGGACUAUGGGUGAGGAGCAUUACAUGGACUGCCAGACUUGCUUAGUUGUGUGAACUUCCUUUUUCAGUCUUGGAUACAGGAGAAUGGAGAAGAAAAUAAUUAGAGGUAAAGAGGAUGGAAAACAAAUGAUAGCAAUAAAAAUAACCCCCAACGUAGCAUGUUUUUAAAGAAGGUAGGCAGGGGACAGCUAGGGGGUUCAGUGGAUUGAGAGUCAGGUCUAGAAACAGGAGGUCCUGGAUUCAAAUCUAGCCUCAGAAACUUCCCAGCUGUAUGAUCCUGAGCAAGUUCCUUCACCCCCAUUGCCUAGCCCUUGCUGUUCUUCUGCCUUGGAAUCAAGCAUCAAACAUUUUCAGAAAGAGAAAGAAAGAAAGAAAGAAAGAAAGAAAGAAAGAAAGAAAGAAAGAAAGAAAGAAAGAAAGAAAGAAAGAAAGAAAGAAAGAAAGAAAGAAAGAAAGAAAGAAAGAAAGAAAGAAAGAAAGAAAGAAAGAAAGAAAGAAAGAAAGAAAGAAAGAAAGAUAGAAAGCAGAAAGGAAGGAAGGAAGGAAGGAAGAAGGAAGAAAGGAAGGAAGGAAGGAAGGAAGGAAGGAAGGAGGAAGGAAGGAAGGAAGGAAGGAAGGAGGAAGGAAGAAAGGAAGGAAGGAAGGAAGGAAGGAAGGAAGGAAGGAAGGAAGGAAGGAAGGAAGGAAGGAAGGAAGGAAGGAAGGAAGGAAGGAAGGAAGGAAGGAAGGAAGGAAGGAAGGAAUGAAGGAAGGAAGGGAGGAAGGAAGGUAGGGGAGGGAUGAAGAGAGGAAGGGAGGAAGGGAAGGAGGGAACAAAUGGAGCGAUGUACUUAAGUCACGAACUAAUGACCGAAGGAUCGCAGGAACGCUAG
RNAcentral lists this long non-coding RNA (1348 nucleotides) under Monodelphis domestica (gray short-tailed opossum). RNAcentral's name for it is "lncRNA (ENSMODG00000040999.1)". Lineage: Eukaryota; Metazoa; Chordata; Mammalia; Didelphimorphia; Didelphidae. The record is from RNAcentral.